Molecule: long non-coding RNA, 2260 nt
Organism: Felis catus (domestic cat)
Lineage: Eukaryota; Metazoa; Chordata; Mammalia; Carnivora; Felidae
Exons: 3
Source: RefSeq, a predicted model, not a curated record
AGUAGCCCUGGUUAGAAGCUAACAGUAGGCUUGUAAGCCUGGAGCUGCCUGUGGCUGCAACCCGGAGCAAGGCGCCCUUCCGGCUGGGGUCGUUCAUUACCAGCACGCCCUCUGCAGCCCUGCGUCCAUGUCAUUGAAACAAAUACCUAUUGAUCAUCUGCUUCCCAAACACCGUGGUGGAUCCUGAGAACCCAGGAAUAAGACACAGCCCUGGUGUGCCAGCCUCAAGGGGUAAGGCCAUCUGUGGCUCAGAGGAGGAGACUAAUGUACCCAAGAUCGCAUAUCUAUAAAAGGCAGGGCCAGGAUCUGGCUCCUGGCUCCUUGCCUCUAAAGGCUUGGCACAGAGGAAAGACGAACACAAGAAGAAAAUCCCAGCAUCUUUGAAAGCCUCCCGAGGAGGCCUGGCCAAUGACAUAACACCUUCAGCAAUGAAAAACCUCUCAGGAAAAAAAAUAAAAGAAAAGAAGAAAAAAAUAAAAAGCCUCUCAGGACAGACAUUCAGAAGCGAGCCCGGGAAAGCGAGCCCGGGACUGUGGGAUCAGGACGGUGGGGUUUCAUUGCUGGCAUCCACAUGGCAAGUUGCUAACACUUGAGGGAGGGGAGGUGAUGGGGGAGAGAAGGGAAAAACUUUCCUUGUCCACCAAGGCUUUCUCCUUCAAAGCUGCCUUCUCCAGAGACCAGCCUUUUCUGGCCCAGUCCCUUCCUCCUCAAGAAAACCGCAGCAACACCAGUUCAGCAAAUGCUCACAUCACUGAAAGUCAGUCAGUCCCACUCGAGGACCCGGGUAAUGGAACUACCCAGGCCCGACCCAGGGGACUCAUUCGUUCCUCCCCUGCAUCUUGGUUAGGUUGUGCUAACUCAUUCGUUCAUUUACCAAACAGGGCUGAGCACCUAUUGUGUCCAGCUUGGGGUCAAACCUUUGAGAUUCAGGAAAGGAGGCCUUCAAAAAGGCUACCAAUCCUUGUAACAGCAACACCAGCAGCCAAAACGUGUACUGCUUUGGGAGUAUCUGAGUUUUUGAGACAAACCGCUGUGACUUUCUUAAUCCGUUUCAAAGGGACCAGCCGGGUUGGCGAAACGAUACUGCUGGUUUGCAUGACUUAGGUCUUCUGAGAGAGAGAGAGAAGAAAAAAAAAAAAAAAGUUUAAAUGUGUAAACCAAAGUGAGUUUUUUUAAACAACGAAUCUGUUGCUUCAGCCGUCCGAGACGUUAGAAUAUACUUUCUGAAAUUAGAAAAUCAGGAAAGUGAGGUUGGGUAUGACAUACAAAAGAGAAAAGUCUAGAAGACGCGACUUGGAGGUGUCCAGGUAACAGGGUAAGCAAAUUAAGGGUGAUAGGAAGUGGAAAGUUAUUGGGACAUGUCACCAGUCAGGCAGUCUGGCAGAGAACGUUAAAAGUCUCCUUUCCUGCCUAGGAUCACACAGGUAACAAACAUUCACGCACACUCCGGCCUGGUGCCGUGCCACAGGAAGGACGUAUCUGAUGUCUGUUUUAUUUUAUUUGCCGUUUGCCCUGUUCCACAAAGGAUUUAAGGCAGUUUACAAAAGAGACACAAGCUAUAAGCUUCAUACACACUAAAAACAAGAGCAGGAGAAAAAAAAACAAAGAAUGGAGACGUAACAAGGAGCCAGGAGUGAGGUGAGGAAAAAUACAAAGUUUACCGAGCCGGUUGACAGACUUCCUUCCAAAGGGCCACAAGUCGGGCACCAGGAGUAAACAGAAAAGGGAAACGGAUGAAUGUUGAGAUAAAAGCAGGUCAGCUGCUUAGGAAACCACUAUUUUUGGAACCAAGGAAAGAGGGGCAUUUCUCCUAAGCGCCUUUCCUCACCCUCUGGUUAGUUACUAAGCCACAACCUUAAUGGCAUCCUGUGUCUGACCCACCCCUCCGGCAGUUCAGAAUUUAGAACUGUGGCUCUUGCUUGAGAUUUCCGUUCACUUUUUCUUGGCGUGUCGUGUGCUCCUUGAACACCCCACACCUGGGAACAUAUUUAUUCAAUGUAGACCUACUUUGGUCCGGACGAUGGAACCUUCCAGAAUCUGUCCUACACAUUAGUGCAACAGUGUAGAAAAUAUCACCAGUGGCCCAAUUUUUCAGCGCCCACAUUGUAACGAAGGUGCUGACAAUGUGCGUACUAAUCCAAAAAAUCAGUACGAAGCAAGGCUACUCGACAGGUCUGGAGGAUCUGGACACCAUACCCAGGCAAGCCCCCCAAGCUUCAGCCUGUUUGAGGAGGGGACAGGACUCGGCGGCAUAUAGGCA